AGUGAACGCUGGCGGUAGGCCUAACACAUGCAAGUCGAACGGCAGCACAGUAAGAGCUUGCUCUUACGGGGGGCGAGUGGCGGACGGGAGAGGAAAACAACGAAAUCUACUUUUUCGUGGGGGAUAACGAAGGGAAACUUACGCCAAUACCGCAUACGACCUACGGUGGAAAGCAGUGGAUCGUCGGACCUUGCGCGGUUGAAUGCGCCGAUGUCGGAUUAGCUAGUUGGCGGGGUAAAGACCCAGGAAGGGGACGAUCCGUAGCUGGUCGGAGAGGAUGGUAAGCCACACUGGAGCUGGGACACGGUCCAGACGCCUACGAGAGGGAGCAGUGGGGAAUAUGAGGCAGUAGGCGGGAGCCUGGUCCAGCCAUACCGCGUGGGUGAAGGAGACCUUCGGGUUGUAAAGCCCUUUUGUCGGGUAAGAAAAGCAGCAGGUUAAUACCCAGCUGUUCUGACGGUACCCAAAGAAUAAGCACCGGCUAACUUCGUG
Molecule: ribosomal RNA, 492 nt
Filed under: uncultured bacterium
Lineage: Bacteria
Description: partial 16S ribosomal RNA
Rfam family: Bacterial small subunit ribosomal RNA
Source: RNAcentral